GAGACCUCCCUUAGACUCCCUUCUCACCUCCCUUGACUUGCAUGGAGUCUUGAGUAAUACUUACUGCCAUCCCUGCCUUUGCUGGACAAAGCCGAGAGCCGAACCCACAGUGCAGUUGUCAUGAGCUGAGCACUAGAUGUACAAGACAUGAAGAAAAACAGCUGCUAAGCAAAACAAGUGAAAAGAAAAAUUGAGGUCAGAAAAUAAAAUGAAUUUUCAGGCACAACUGAUGAGGUUUUGGGGUGAUGGUGUGGAGGUCUGGAGCCGACGACCAAGAAAGAAUUCUUGAAGACAUCUUUGACGCAAAAA
This is a long non-coding RNA of Neofelis nebulosa (Clouded leopard), 309 nucleotides long. RefSeq lists it as uncharacterized. The record is from RefSeq and is a predicted model, not a curated record. NCBI's taxonomy places the organism in Eukaryota, Metazoa, Chordata, Mammalia, Carnivora, Felidae. The transcript is spliced from 3 exons.